GACUGAGACACGGCAAACUUAUAGCAGUCCUCCUGAGAAGAGGCAGCAUCCUCCACUGGCCGCAGAUAUUGCUGCACAGACGGAAACAAUAAGCAAAUAAAAAGAAGAAAACAUUCAAAUCAAAAUGAAGAUCUAUGUGAUUCAUUUCCUGCUAAAGAGCCCCCUGGCGGUUGAAGAAAAAGCCACACCGGGCUAUAAGCUGCUUGGUUCAAAGCGUAGGAAAAAAGCAGCGGCUUGUAGUCUGAAAAAUACGGAGCCAAACUUGGGCAGUUUCAAAUAAUUUACUCAGGACUGAUCUUCAUCGAUAGCGACACAAGGUAGAGGGAGAUCACUGGGAAGAUGUGCCAGGGUGUAGUUCCAGCCUGCCAGCAAACCAGCUGCUCCCCGAGCCAGAACCCAGAGGGAAACUGCUCCGUCUGCACAAAGAUGUUUAUUUGUUGUCCA
This is a long non-coding RNA of Gambusia affinis (western mosquitofish), 444 nucleotides long. RefSeq lists it as uncharacterized. The record is from RefSeq and is a predicted model, not a curated record. Lineage: Eukaryota; Metazoa; Chordata; Actinopteri; Cyprinodontiformes; Poeciliidae. The transcript has 4 exons.